Molecule: ribosomal RNA, 810 nt
Filed under: uncultured bacterium
Lineage: Bacteria
Description: bacterial SSU rRNA
Rfam family: Bacterial small subunit ribosomal RNA
Source: RNAcentral
CUGAUGUGAAAGCGUUCGGCUCAGCCGGAGAAUUGCAUCAGAAACUGUUGAACUUGAGUGCAGAAGAGGAGAGUGGAACUCCAUGUGUAGCGGUGGAAUGCGUAGAUAUAUGGAAGAACACCAGUGGCGAAGGCGGCUCUCUGGUCUGCAACUGACGCUGAGGCUCGAAAGCAUGGGUAGCGAACAGGAUUAGAUACCCUGGUAGUCCAUGCCGUAAACGAUGAGUGCUAAGUGUUGGGAGGUUUCCGCCUCUCAGUGCUGCAGCUAACGCAUUAAGCACUCCGCCUGGGGAGUACGACCGCAAGGUUGAAACUCAAAGGAAUUGACGGGGGCCCGCACAAGCGGUGGAGCAUGUGGUUUAAUUCGAAGCAACGCGAAGAACCUUACCAGGUCUUGACAUCCAGUGCAAACCUAAGAGAUUAGGUGUUCCCUUCGGGGACGCUGAGACAGGUGGUGCAUGGCUGUCGUCAGCUCGUGUCGUGAGAUGUUGGGUUAAGUCCCGCAACGAGCGCAACCCUUGUCAUUAGUUGCCAUCAUUAAGUUGGGCACUCUAAUGAGACUGCCGGUGACAAACCGGAGGAAGGUGGGGAUGACGUCAAGUCAUCAUGCCCCUUAUGACCUGGGCUACACACGUGCUACAAUGGACGGUACAACGAGAAGCGAACCUGCGAAGGCAAGCGGAUCUCUUAAAGCCGUUCUCAGUUCGGACUGUAGGCUGCAACUCGCCUACACGAAGCUGGAAUCGCUAGUAAUCGCGGUUCAGCACGCCGCGGUGAAUACGUUCCCGGGCCUUGCACUCACCGCCCGUCA